UUCGCCCUUAGAGUUUGAUCCUGGCUCAGGACGAACGCUGGCGGCGUGCUUAACACAUGCAAGUCGAACGAGAAUCUGUGGAACGAGGAUUCGUCCAAGGGAAACAGAGGACAGUGGCGGACGGGUGAGUAACGCGUGAGUAACCUGCCCUGGAGUGGGGGACAACAGUUGGAAACGACUGCUAAUACCGCAUAAGCCCACGAUCCGGCAUCGGAUUGAGGGAAAAGGAUUUAUUCGCUUCAGGAUGGACUCGCGUCCAAUUAGCUAGUUGGUGAGGUAACGGCCCACCAAGCCGACGAUCGGUAGCCGACCUGAGAGGGUGAUCGGCUACAUUGGGACUGAGACACGGCCCAAACUCCUACGGGAGGCAGCAGUGGGGAAUAUUGGGCAAUGGAGGAAACUCUGACCCAGCAACGCCGCGUGGAGGAAGAAGGUUUUCGGAUCGUAAACUCCUGUCCUUGGAGACGAGUAGAAGACGGUAUCCAAGGAGGAAGCCCCGGCUAACUACGUGCCAGCAGCCGCGGUAAUACGUAGGGGGCAAGCGUUGUCCGGAAUAAUUGGGCGUAAAGGGCGCGUAGGCGGCUCAGUAAGUCUGGAGUGAAAGUCCUGCUUUUAAGGUGGGAAUUGCUUUGGAUACUGUCGGGCUUGAGUGCAGGAGAGGUUAGUGGAAUUCCCAGUGUAGCGGUGAAAUGCGUAGAGAUUGGGAGGAACACCAGUGGCGAAGGCGACUAACUGGACUGUAACUGACGCUGAGGCGCGAAAGUGUGGGGAGCAAACAGGAUUAGAUACCCUGGUAGUCCACACUGUAAACGAUGAAUGCUAGGUGUAGGGGGUAUCGACCCCUUCUGUGCCGCAGUCAACACAAUAAGCAUUCCGCCUGGGGAGUACGGCCGCAAGGUUGAAACUCAAAGGAAUUGACGGGGGCCCGCACAAGCAGCGGAGCAUGUGGUUUAAUUCGACGCAACGCGAAGAACCUUACCAGGUCUUGACAUCCACUUAAACUUACAGAGAUGUAAGGUGUGCUUGCACAAAGUGAGACAGGUGGUGCAUGGUUGUCGUCAGCUCGUGUCGUGAGAUGUUGGGUUAAGUCCCGCAACGAGCGCAACCCUUAUCUUCAGUUACUAACGCGUGAGGGUGAGGACUCUGAAGAGACUGCCGGGGACAACUCGGAGGAAGGUGGGGACGACGUCAAAUCAUCAUGCCCCUUAUGACCUGGGCUACACACGUGCUACAAUGGCCACGACAGAGAGAAGCGAAAUCGCAAGGUAGAGCGGAACUCAAAAAAGUGGUCCCAGUUCGGAUUGUGGGCUGCAACCCGCCCACAUGAAGUCGGAGUUGCUAGUAAUCGCGGAUCAGCAUGCCGCGGUGAAUACGUUCCCGGGCCUUGCACACACCGCCCGUCA
Molecule: ribosomal RNA, 1403 nt
Filed under: uncultured bacterium
Lineage: Bacteria
Description: 16S ribosomal RNA
Rfam family: Bacterial small subunit ribosomal RNA
Source: RNAcentral